GAGUUUGAUCGUGGCUCAGAUUGAACGCUGGCGGCAGGCCUAACACAUGCAAGUCGGGCGGUAGAGAGAAGCUUGCUUCUCUUGAGAGCGGCGGACGGGUGAGUAAUGCCUAGGAAUCUGCCUGGUAGUGGGGGAUAACGCUCGGAAACGGACGCUAAUACCGCAUACGUCCUACGGGAGAAAGCAGGGGACCUUCGGGCCUUGCGCUAUCAGAUGAGCCUAGGUCGGAUUAGCUAGUUGGUGAGGUAAUGGCUCACCAAGGCGACGAUCCGUAACUGGUCUGAGAGGAUGAUCAGUCACACUGGAACUGAGACACGGUCCAGACUCCUACGGGAGGCAGCAGUGGGGAAUAUUGGACAAUGGGCGAAAGCCUGAUCCAGCCAUGCCGCGUGUGUGAAGAAGGUCUUCGGAUUGUAAAGCACUUUAAGUUGGGAGGAAGGGCAGUAAAUUAAUACUUUGCUGUUUUUGACGUUACCGACAGAAUAAGCACCGGCUAACUCUGUGCCAGCAG
This 511-nucleotide ribosomal RNA is filed under the name uncultured bacterium. RNAcentral describes it as "bacterial SSU rRNA". It matches the Rfam family "Bacterial small subunit ribosomal RNA", at positions 9 to 514 of the family's 1533-position model. The record is from RNAcentral.